This 253-nucleotide ribosomal RNA is filed under the name uncultured bacterium. Its description in RNAcentral is "partial 16S ribosomal RNA". It matches the Rfam family "Bacterial small subunit ribosomal RNA", at positions 524 to 776 of the family's 1533-position model. The record is from RNAcentral.
UACGGAGGGUCCAAGCGUUAUCCGGAAUCAUUGGGGUUAAAGGGUCCGUAGGCGGUUUUGUAAGUCAGUGGUGAAAGCCCAUCGCUCAACGGUGGAACGGCCAUUGAUACUGCAAGACUUGAAUUAUUAGGAAGUAACUAGAAUAUGUAGUGUAGCGGUGAAAUGCUUAGAGAUUACAUGGAAUACCAAUUGCGAAGGCAGGUUACUACUAAUGGAUUGACGCUGAUGGACGAAAGCGUGGGGAGCGAACAGG